Molecule: ribosomal RNA, 847 nt
Filed under: Duthiersia expansa
Lineage: Eukaryota; Metazoa; Platyhelminthes; Cestoda; Diphyllobothriidea; Diphyllobothriidae
Description: partial 16S ribosomal RNA
Rfam family: Bacterial large subunit ribosomal RNA (bases 598-847)
Source: RNAcentral
CUAGACAGAUAGUUGUUUGUGUAUGGACAUUAUACCGAAGGGUUUAGAUCUUUAGUCAAGUUGCUGUGAGCAUUAAUAGAGUGUGUAACUCUUAUAAAUUGAUUAGUGAUGUGAUAAAUUAGUCGUUAAACUGUAUAUCUGUUUUAAGCUUUUACUUGUAAUAUAGUUUAUUGGCGAGGAGGUCGAUAAAUAGGUUAUAAAUUUAUAUACUAGAUGUAAUAAAGUGAGGUUAAAGUUACCUUUAUUUUGUGAGUAUGUUAAUAUACUGUUGUUAGUUUAGUAGAUUUUAAAUUUAAUUAGCUUAAAUUAUAAUAGUAAGAGGUAUAUAAUUGUUUAAUAAGUAAUACUAUUAGCUUUUUUGUUUCUCAGCAUAAUUCCGUCUGUUUAUCAAAAACAUUGUCAUAAAACUGAAUUAUUUAUGAUAGUACCUGCUCUAUGUUGUAAAAUAAAUGGCCGCAGUAUAUUGACUGUGCGAAGGUAGCAUAAUUAAUUGCCUUCUAAUUAGAGGCUUGUUUGAAUGGUUUGACGUGACUUAUUGUAACAUGAAAGCUUUUAUUGAAAUUAAUGUUGUGGGCACAGAUUCCGCAGGAGUUAAUUAGACGGAAAGACCCUAGGAUCUUGCAUUUUGCUUGGGGCCAGUGUGGAUAUUUUAUUCAUUUUGUGAUCCUAUUGGAUUAAAGAUUUAAGUUACCCUAGGGAUAACAGUGUUAUAACUUAUUAGAGUUCUUAUCGAUUAAGUUGUUUGCUACCUCGAUGUUGACUUGGGUUUAUACUUUGGCGCAGUAGUUGAAGUUUGUGGUCUGUUCGACCUUAUGUACCCCCAUGAGUUGAGUUAAGACCGGCGUGA